GAACGAGGAUAUACCCUUCGGGGUAUAAACCGAGUGGCGCAAGGGUGAGUAAUGCAUAGAUUGCCUGCCUCCGGGAUAAGGACAACUUUGUGAAAACGAAGCUAAUACUUAAUAAUACAAAAGAAAAUUAUUUUCUUUUGUCAAAGGGAGGGUAGCAAUACCUUUUGCCUGGAGAGGGGUUUAUGUCCUAUCAGCUUGUUGGUGGGGUAAUGGCCUACCAAGGCGAAGACGGGUAGCCGGUCUUAGAGGACGGUCGGCCACACUGGGACUGAGACACUGCCCAGACUUCUACGGAAGGCUGCAGUCGAGAAUCUUUCGCAAUGCCCGAAAGGGUGACGAAGCGACGCCGCGUGGGUGAGGAAGGCCUUCGUGUUGUAAAGCCCUGUCAGGAGUUAAGAAAUAUAAGUGCGUUAAUACCGCAUUUAUUUGACGAAGGCUCCAAAGGAAGCCACGGCUAACUCUGUGCCAGCAGCCGCGGUAAUACAGAGGUGGCAAGCGUUGUUCGGAAUUAUUGGGCGUAAAGAGCACGUAGGUGGGUUUGUAAGUCAGGUGUGAAAGCCUUCUGUUCAACGGAAGAAUUGCAUCUGAAACUGCGAGUCUUGAGUGUAGGAGGGGAGAAUGGAACUUCUGGUGGAGCGGUGAAAUGCGUAGAUAUCAGAAGGAACGCCGGCGGCGAAAGCGAUUCUCUGGCCUAUUACUGACACUCAGUGUGCGAAAGCUAGGGGAGCAAACGGGAUUAGAUACCCCGGUAGUCCUAGCCGUAAACGAU
This 769-nucleotide ribosomal RNA is filed under the name uncultured Planctomycetota bacterium. RNAcentral's name for it is "bacterial SSU rRNA". It matches the Rfam family "Bacterial small subunit ribosomal RNA", at positions 64 to 810 of the family's 1533-position model. Lineage: Bacteria; Pseudomonadati; Planctomycetota. The record is from RNAcentral.